RNAcentral lists this transfer RNA (67 nucleotides) under Myotis lucifugus (little brown bat). It matches the Rfam family "tRNA". Rfam says of the family: Transfer RNA (tRNA) molecules are approximately 80 nucleotides in length. Their secondary structure includes four short double-helical elements and three loops (D, anti-codon, and T loops). The record is from Rfam by way of RNAcentral. Lineage: Eukaryota; Metazoa; Chordata; Mammalia; Chiroptera; Vespertilionidae.
GCCAGUGUUGCUCAGUGGUUAGAGUAUUUGCCCAAAGGGUCACAGGUUCGAUUCCUGGUCAAGGGCA